Talpa occidentalis (Iberian mole) is the source of this 378-nucleotide long non-coding RNA. RefSeq lists it as uncharacterized. The record is from RefSeq and is a predicted model, not a curated record. The transcript has 3 exons. NCBI's taxonomy places the organism in Eukaryota, Metazoa, Chordata, Mammalia, Eulipotyphla, Talpidae.
CAGGUGCUCCUGGUAGGCUCAGGUGAUGGCAGGAAAAGGGCCUCGGCCAGUGAAGCACCGAGGAAUCGUUCAGGGCCCACUUGUGGAUUGUCAGGUUUACAUGGGAUAACCCACUGGCAGUCCCAGCACGGAAAAUGCACGAGAAGGAAGAAAGCAAAACUAAAGACUGGAAAAUGCACAAGCCAAAGAGGAAGCAGGAGCUCGAACAGGAGGCACUUCCCAUAACUGACAGAAGGAAACAAACUGAAAUGGGAGUGAAUACAUAGAAAGGAUUCCUAAAGACCUGAAAUACUUGGAACCAAGAUGCCACCCUGUGCUUCUCCAGCUUAAGGAGCUUUUGCAAAACCAACAUCGGAAAAACAAAAUAAGAUAAUAUGA